This 24367-nucleotide long non-coding RNA is filed under the name Pelobates cultripes (western spadefoot toad). The record is from RNAcentral. Lineage: Eukaryota; Metazoa; Chordata; Amphibia; Anura; Pelobatidae.
GACACUCUGGGACACACAACCCCAAAAUGUUUUGUUUAAUGGUAAUGUCUUCAUUGUUUAAAGGGACACUCCAGGCUUUCACACGUACAAGUCCAUAAUCCAUCUAUUUUUAAAAAUUAAUCUCAAGUUUUGUGCCAUGAGCUCUCCCUCUGUUUCAACCUUCCAGUUUUUAAAUUUUUCUCCAAAAAUACUGUUGACCUUGAUGUUGCGACUCAGGGUUCUCAGAGCGGUAGUGUGGAUAAUUGUUUGUUGUUUUUUUUUUACAGGUGAAAGCUUUUAAUUAAACUACAACCUCCAUGAACCUUUCUGUUCUCAUAAAGCACUGCUUACAGUAUAAGCUCUGUGAAUGGUAAGUGGGCAUUUUGAAGUAGUUGAUGUGGCUGUAAAGUAUAUGAUUCAACUGUAUGUGGGCAUUAUGCUUAAAUGCAGACACUGAUUAUUGCCAUUUUUAGUAAGCCAUACUGCUGGCAAUGCCUUCAAGAGUCUUUCAAAUACCUAUAAACAAGGUAUUUGACCAUUUUUAUUUAUCUAUUUGUGACACCUACUGAAUGCAAGAAAAAUAGCAUUUUUGCUUUUAUACUAACAAUUUACCCUGUGUGAAAUAUUGUAAGAUAAAGGACAUUGUAUACUGUCUAUAUCUGUUCAUUUCCCAAAUAUUUUUUUUAUAAAUGCUGAACGAAUAAGUAAAAAUUAAAAAUGUUUGUAAAUUCACAAAAUCAUAAUUUAAAUGUAUACAUUUGUUUGUAGAGCAUUAUAUACACAAUUGCUGUGGUCUGAUAUGUUUAAAUACUAGCAAUGUAUCUCUUGCUUCAAAUACACCAUACUAAAAUGCUUAUAAUCAAAAAGCAUUGAAGGUAAAGCAAUAUUUAAUUAAUACACAACUCUGUUUAUAUUUUGAGAAUAUUCAGUGCCUGAUUUGUAGGCAUAUUUUAAUUCCCAGUGAUGACUCAGGUACAAUUGGUAAAACAUGUUGGGGAAUCAAUCACGGCAAAUUAUGAAGAAUAAUACCAUCAACUCACGGGGUUAUUGUCUGCCAAUGACACAGAAAGGGACAUUACAUAUUUCUGUACAUUCCGAGUGGAGUGUUUUUCCAUUUUCCUCUUGUUAUACCUGGUUAUUCAUUAAUAUAUGAUUUGUUAGGAAUUUAAAGUUCAUUUAGAAAUUUAGGCCACAGUUAUAAUACGCCUAUUUAUUAUUAUUACUUGGAAAAUAUUAGAUUUCAUCUUAUACAUAAGAAAAAAAAAGGUAAAAGGAAAUCAAAUUCUGUCUAUUUCGAACUUGUUAACCUUCCUGUAUUUUUCAGUUUGUCUGUCAGGUGAGCUGUCUUCUCACACUCACUGAUUUUUGUUUCCAUUUUGAUUUAUUAUCAUUUACCUUUCUUCUUUGUAAACUCAACAAGCCUGUUUCAGUAACAAUAUCAGCAUUACUGGCAUUCCCCCCAAACUCAGUCUCAUCACGUUACUUCUGCUGCAUUCAAGCUAUAUAUUAAACACUGUGACAACUAAUUAGGUUUGAACAUUUUUGGGGAAGAUGAGAGGCAGAGGCACGCUUUCUGGAAUUCACGGAAAAGAUGAGUGGAUUAUUCUGAAUUGAACAAAGUCAGUGGGAUAAACUAAGGAAAGGGUCAAGAACAUGAAGUCAGUCCUUAAAGGACCACUAUAGGCACCCAGACCACAUCAGCUCAAUGAAGUGGUCUGGGUGCCAGGUCCAUCUAGGGUUAACCCUGCAGCUGUAAACAUAGCAGUUUCAGAGAGAUAUGUUUACAUAUGGGUUAAUCCAGUCUCUAGUGGCUGUCUCAUUGACAGCCGCUAGAGGCACUUCCACGCUUCUCACUGUGAUUUUCACAGUGAGAAGAAGCCAGAGUCCAUAGGAAAGCAUUGAGAAUGCUUUCCUAUGGACUGACUGAAUGCGCGCACGACUCUUGACGCGCAUGCGCAUUCAUCGGAAGAGGGAGGAGAGUCCCCAGCGCCGAGGUAGCCCGGUGCUGGAGAAAGGUAAUUGAAUAACCUCUUCCUCCCCCUGGAGCCUGGCGGGAGGGGGGCCAUGAUGGUGGGGGGAUCUAUUAACACUAUAGUGCCAGGAAAACAAGUUUGUUUUCCUGGCACUAUAGUGGUCCUUUAACCCACAAAAUGUGCCUCAGUCACCUCAAAUAUGAGAAAAAACAUAUGUUAAACUACUUAGACAUGCCCCAAAACACAGACUGAUCCAUCCAUCCCAAUGUUAUUUGACCAUGAGCAAGCAUACAUAAAAGGGACACUAUAGACACCAAAACAACUUUAGCUUAAUGAAGCAGUUUUGGUAUACAGAUCAUGUCCCUGCAAUCUCACAGCUCAAUUCUCUGCUAUGUAGGAGUUAAAUCACUUUUGUUUCUGUUUAUACAGCUCUCACCACACGUCUCCCGGCUGUGACUCACACAGUCUGAAUGAAAAAAAACGGUGUAAUUUAAUCAGAUCACUGGCAUUAUAGUGUAUUUACUCCAGACGUUAUUUUAACUCCUGCUCUGUUAAUAGAACUUUAAUGACACACAGGAGGCUCCAGCAGGCUCUAGCAGGUCUUGAGUGAUUGAACUCUUCCUCGGGCUCCCUUCUGUCAGCUGGUGACAGAAUUGGUGGCCACAGACUGACCAAUGGUCUGAUUGUUGAGCUCAAAGUGAGCAUGUCAAGGUUUUGUGUAUGGAACCCAAAAAUGCAGAACUUGCACUAGCAAAAUAAUAAACAAAAGUCCAAACAAACAAAUUAAAUAGGGCAAGGCAAAGGCAGAGUCAGGCAAUCCCAGGUUCAAAGUCCAGGCAGCAAAGGUUCAGUAAGGGUGAGGCAAUCCAAGGUCAGGGAACAGAUAGUUGGAAAACAGGUAACACAGGUAACAGUAGGAUAUAGCACAGAACAACUGAGCAACAAAGACUCAGGUGUUCCAGGUUUAAAAAGGCAGCCAGAUUGAAAGCCCACCUACUUUGACAAGCUUUCAUAACACGCUAUUGGUGUAUGGGGCUGUCUAACAUCUGGGGAUGAAAUGAGGAAGUGAUUACCUAUUAAUUUGUUCCAGCCUUGCUGUUCUGCGGUGUGGAACGAUCGUGCAUGCCUCCCAGCUUCAAUGGUUGCCUGGUAGACAUGACUAGAUCGGAGUUCAUAGGUCGGGGCCCACCCCAUGCCAUCGCGCAUGCGUGCGUUAGGGCGGCCUCAAUCUGGAGAUGCCGCCAGAGCAGCAAGGGAACGAAGGUAAGUCCUGACAGAGUGUUGCAAACAGGUAUUUAAAUGGGGAUUUAAGUCCCCAUUAUUACAAAUCCAUUUGAGCAUGGUUAAUAACCUUCUCACACCAGGGAAUCACCGGUAUUAAUGGAGACUUGGGGCUCUUCUCUUUCACCUGGAGCCAAUUUUAGUGGCCCCAGACUGGCAGGUGAGCUGCAUGCAGAGCUCAGAGCAAAAUUGGCAUACAGCUCUUAUAGUGAGGAUUUAAAUCCCCAAAGACAGCGAUGUAGUGUGAGCAGGGUUAGACUCCUCUCUGUCAACUGGGGCCACCUUAGAGGAUCCAGUUGACUGAUAGUCAACACUGCAGCUGAACGAUCACGCUUAGCUACAGUGACUCUCUCACUGGAUAUGGUGAUUGGGAAACGGCAAGGGGGUUAAGCUUAAGUUGUUUUCGUGCUUAUAGUGUUCCUUUAAAUGUUACAUUAAUUCAGUGCCUAUAGAAACUUAGAAACCGGAUAUAAAUAAAGUUUGUGCUUUCGAUAAAUUGUAAUUGAAGUAUGUAUUAUAGGAAAUAAUAUCUUCAGAGUCUUUAUUUUCCCUGGAUAACAAUUUCAACAUUCUUUAUCUUUUAUAUUACACAGUCCCUGUACUGUACGGUGGUCGUCAAUCGUUUUGUGCAACAUGUGAGUCUAAAACUUGAUGCGCCCAUAGAAUUAAUGGAACUAAAUCAUAUUUUAAAACACAAUUUACAGAAAGAUAAAUGUAACUGACCAUAUAACAACACAUUUCUCCUUAACAGAGAGCAGAUCCCUGGCCGAGAAACUCCAACCAUUGAUAAUAGCGUAGAGUUGAAAAGGAUGGUCGUCUCAUUGGUCAGACUGUCCUCCGGAGCUGUUCAGUUAUCCACAGAUCGAUGCUGCAGCUGGCUGCAAAGUUAAACGUGACUUAACUCUCUUAAAGUAGAGGUUCUUGAAAAAAAAAAAGAGAAGUAUUUUGUUACCCAAACUGUGGUCAUCAUUGUAAAAAUAAAACUUCCUUAAAGGACAACUGUCCUCAAAUUUUUAAACCUCGUUUUUUAUUUCUUUUUAAAGUUGAUUAAAUCUAGCAAAAUUUUAAUGAAACCGUUCAACCUUACCUCUGCUUUGAUUGCCCUGUGCGAAACUGCAAGUUAAGCUGAGCGGCAGUUGGCCAGAUAACAGUAGAAUCUGACCCAACAUGGCUGCUUAGCCUGGUAAAAAAAAAAAAAAAAAGUAAAAUUUUCUAAAAAAAAAAAUCAAUAUGCAUCAUUUAAAAGAAAAUAAAAACAAUCAUUAUGUUUCAUUAAUGUAAUAAGCUUGAAAAAACAAACUAACCAAGAAGCGUAUAUUUGAUGACAAUUGUCCUUAAAAACCUUGGAUUACUAGAACUAUAGAUUUGGUGGACACUAGCUUACAUGACAUCUUUUUUGGUUCUCUAUAAUAUCCACCAGAAAGUUGUUGUUUUUUCAUCUCUAAAACCUUAUAAAUGUGUAAGGAUAAAGGUUGACUUAAUCUUCAUGACCAAUGCCAAACGAUGUAAUGCAGCUGAAUAGCGCAGUAACGUGAAGCACGUGAAUUAUAUUUUUUCUUUUCUUUUUUUUAACUUGUUCGAGUGACAUUUAAUAUGAUUUCAUUGUAGCUAUGCAAAUCUCUUUUCAGGUAAGUGAAAACAAGCUUUUCUGGUAGUUUUAUGUCACGUUUCUCAGAUUUUCUAUCAAUGAGUUAGUAAAUGACAACAUACUACAUGACCUCUGGGUGUAGUUUAUACGAACAGAUUUUGAGAUAAUCACUCUAGUAACGUUCUCAGACAGAAAAUUAAAUUUGCAAUGUAGACACAUCAAACACAAUAAAUUAUCUUUCUUAUUCUUGUGUUUGAGAGCAGUUACCAAGCUGGUAUUUUACUGGCAUUAGAGUAAAAAAGAAACAGAAAAAAGCGACAUUACUAAAGAUCAACUAACACAGCACAAAAGUAAUUUCAUUAAUCAGAUAAAAAAAAAUUAUAAUUCUUCCAUAUCAAUCUGCAGGUAGAAAUGGAAGCCAUGCUUUCUCAACUAAAGCUUACUGGAAGUGUGCGUGUAUAUGACGUCAGGGCGCGAUAACGCGUUUCGCCAGUAUAAUCCUUCCUCAAAUCUCUAAGGAAUAAUCUGAAGAAGCAGAAUAUGCUGACAAAACGCGGAAUCGCACCCUGACGUCAAAUGCACGCACGCUGCUAGUAAGCUCCAUCCCCCCAGUACGAUCAAAGCAUCUCUGGACACCCCACACAGCCGGCAAGUGACAGGGUGUCCAGAAGGAAAGAUUCAACUAAAGGGAACCAAGUGCAUGGGAGUAUUAACAGCCGUUGCUUUUAUUGCUGAUUGGUAUAAGGUCUGAGUAUCUUAACCACAGAACAUGGCAUAUUGUUUGGAGUGAAUAUUGUUAGAGCAGAUUGUGCUGCUCUGUGUCUGUGAGUGUUUUUCCUUCCUUUAUUUAUGACUUUAUGUGAACUGGCAAUAUUGCCCUAUUGUGUUUCUUUUUCUUUUUUGAGAUACUAAAUUGAAGCUAUCUACCUGUCUAAUCCAUUGUAUGUGGAUAUCCACUGAUCUAUCUACCUGUCUAAUCUAUUGCAGGACUUCUCGCGGGUGUCUCCCUUCCUAUGCAAUAGCCUGCCUCUCCGAUAGUCUUCAAUCCUUUAAGAAAUGCCUUAAAACCCAUCUCUUUAGGAAUGCUUAUGGCCUCCCAGAGUAACCUCUACCUUACAUACCUGUCUCUUGCUCUCUACUAUAGGGCAGCACUCUACUCUCUCCUCCAGCUCUGCUUUACUCCCAUCCUAUCUGAUUGCUAUUUCCUGUCCUAUUGUGUUUUACACCCCACCUCCUAUAGACUGUAAGCUCGUUUGAGCAGGGUCCUUUUAACCUAUCGUUUCUGUAAGUUUUCUUGUAAUUGUCCUAUUUAUAGUUAAAUCCCCCCCUCUCAUAAUAUUGUAAAGUGCUACGGAAUCUGUUGGCGCUAUAUAAAUGGCAAUAAUAAUAAUAAUAAUAUUCUAUCUACCCAUCUGAAUGCAUUGUAUGUGGAUAUACACUGAUCUAUCUACCUGUGUAACGCAUUGUAUGUGGAUAUACACUGAUCUAUCUACCUGUGUAACGCAUUGUAUGUGGAUAUACACUGAUCUAUCUACCUGUGUAACGCAUUGUAUGUGGAUAUACACUGAUCUAUCUACCUGUGUAACGCAUUGUAUGUGGAUAUACACUGAUCUAUCUACCUGUGUAACGCAUUGUAUGUGGAUAUACACUGAUCUAUCUACCUGUGUAACGCAUUGUAUGUGGAUAUACACUGAUCUAUCUACCUGUGUAACGCAUUGUAUCUGGAUAUACACUGAUCUAUCUACCUGUGUAACGCAUUGUAUGUGGAUAUACACUGAUCUAUCUACCUGUGUAACGCAUUGUAUGUGGAUAUACACUGAUCAAUCUAUCUACCUGUGUAACGCAUUGUAUGUGGAUAUACACUGAUCUAUCUACCUGUGUAACGCAUUGUAUGUGGAUAUACACUGAUCUAUCUACCUGUGUAACGCAUUGUAUGUGGAUAUACACUGAUCUAUCUACCUGUGUAACGCAUUUUAUGUGGAUAUACACUGAUCUAUCUACCUGUGUAACGCAUUGUAUGUGGAUAUACACUGAUCUAUCUACCUGUGUAACGCAUUGUAUGUGGAUAUACACUGAUCUAUCUACCUGUGUAACGCAUUGUAUGUGGAUAUACACUGAUCUAUCUACCUGUGUAACGCAUUGUAUGUGGAUAUACACUGAUCUAUCUACCUGUGUAACGCAUUGUAUGUGGAUAUAUACUAUAUAUGUUAGUGGAUUGUUGCACUUUACACUGUUUUUGCACAGUUAAUUAUAGCAGUUUGUUGUAUUAUUUGCACACUGCUGCAUUAGCACUCUUGGUAAUGUGCACUUUAAUAGGUAUUAUUGGCAUUUUAUUUAUAUUCACUUAUUUAUAUUAUAAAAUUAGUGGUUUUAACAUCACAUUGCACUAUUUGUGUAUUAUCUAUUGACCUAAAUACACAGUGCAUAUUUUAUUUCUUAUCUUGUGUGUUAUGAGCUUGUACAAAUUAUAGUUUAUUUUUCUUAUUUAAUUUUUUAGCUCCGUUAUUUUUACCUGCUUAGUUUAUAUAUACUGUUGUUUUAUUUGCUGGCAGACUGGACAGAGUGACCCUUGCCCUUUAUAACCAAAUUUCUGGAAAAUUCACGUAAUGUCACAUAAUGUUAACUGCAUGAUUAAUCAGCAGCACUUGUUGUGACUCUGGGCACAUUCAUCAGGUUUUCAGAGAUUUCUAACAAUAUGUGUCCAAUAUAUGUUUUUGGACACGUUUUUAAAAUGAUCACAAUCUGUUAGAAAAACUUUUCAAGUGAUUUAUCUUAAAGGAACAUGAUAGGGUCAGGAACACAAACAUUUAUUUCUGACCCUAUAGUGUUUAAUUCACCAUUUAAGUUGCUUGCCCCCCCUUAGCUCCCUUAGAAAGGGUGAAAACUCACCUUAUUUCCAGCACCGUGCAGGCCACUCCACGCUGGCUCAGCCGAUCCGCGUCCUUGGUGACAUAACCAGAAUUGCUGAUUUUUAGCUAAUCCAAUGCUCUCCCAUAGGGAAAGCAUCGGAUUGGCUGAAAUCGGCAAGGAGGUGGGAUGGGGCCAAACACCAUUUUAGCAAUCUCUAUGAGGAAAAUUCAGUGUACACAUGCAGAGCGUGGAGACGCUGAACGGCAGUACUGUCUACUGUGCAGCACUAGGGGGCAAUGUAAAAGGCAGUGUUUGCAUUAAAAUGCCUGCAGGCAUUGGCGGAACUACCGCGGUCUCAGGGAUCGCAGCUGCGACCGGGCCCGUCACUCCAGGGGCCCGACGACCCUGUAGACCCCUGCAACCGGGGUACCCACCAGCAUUUUUGUGCUGCCCAUGGUGCGGCCCAUGGUCUUGGGGCCACCCGAUGGCAAUGGAUUUCCUGGGGCCCGGUCAGUGCUGCGGUGCUUUAGUAAUGAUGUCAGUAAUGAUGUCAGAGCUGGGAGGAAGCCGUCAAUUCCUCCCAGCCAACGGUGCGCCGCGCAGGAGGAGAGGAGGAAGUCAAAGUGGAAGCUCUGACUCCCAUCAGCAUGAGGCAGCCACUGGACCCCAGGUAAGUCACUAAAUUUUUUUAACAGUGUGUGUGUGUUUCUGUAUAUCUGUAUGUGUGUUUGUGUGUCUGUAUGUGUGUGUUUCUGUAUAUCUGUAUGUAUGUGUGUCUGUAUGUAUGUGUCAUGAUCUUGUACAGGUCAGGUAGGAGACGAUUGUGUGUGUAAGUCUGUGUGUUUCUGUAUAUGUGUUUGUGUGUGUGUGUGUCUGUAUGUGUGUGUUUCUGUAUAUCUGUAUGUGUGUUUGUGUGUGUGUGUGUGUGUUUGUAUGUGUGUGUUUCUGUAUAUCUGUAAGUAUGUGUGUCUGUAUGUGUCAUGAUCUUGUACAAGUCAGGUAGGAGACGAUUGCCAGGGUUAACAUCAGGAUCUUUAUUGCGGUCUUCCGACUUUAUAAAAUAAACACUAUAUCCGAUGGGAUAACAGGUAAAACUAUAAAUUAAGUUAUAGGUUGGAGAAUUAAGAAUAACCUAUAAGAGAAAUUAGAGGCAAGUAAGUUGAAGGUAUACCGAAAACAGGAGUUAGGCAAUCUGCCCCAAAUAGAAUACAAUCAGGAAUGGAAGUAACUAAUAAGAAAACCUAUAGAUAUAAAAGUAUAGCUUACAUAGAAGGAGAAAUUAGACAGAAUAAUAAGAUUGCAGGAAAAGGAGAACUGAAGUUAAUAAGCCCCCUUUAGAAAUAAGGUUUGCUUGUACAGGAAAAUAAUACCAUGUAAUUAUUUUGAGUCCAGAGUGGUGUUAUGAGGCAGGUAUCGAGCAGAGAGCUUUUAUGGAUUUGAGCAGGUAAAUAUCAGGAUGGUGAGAUAAAGCUGGAUCAUUGUUAAGUUCAAGUUGGUAUUUUGCAGGUUAGAAGUCAAACAGGAAUGCAGAGGAGUUCAGGCUGGCAUUAAGCAGGGUUGGAAGCAAGUAGUUCAGCUGGCAUUAAGCAAGGUUGGAAGCAAGUAGUUCAGCGGGUAUUGAGCAGGGUUGGAAGCAAGUAGUUCAGCUGGUAUUGAGCAGGUUUGGAAGCAAGGCAUUCUGAAGCAAAUAAGAUAAGUUCACAGGAGCCAGGAUAUGAAGUGUUUCAGGCAGAUCAACAACUUCAAUGCAAAGGCAAUGAGGUGAGUUGGGCGUUACCUUUUGUAGGAACCCAAUUAGCCCAGGCAGGUGAGGAUGAUAAGGUGAGUGUCCAGAACUAGAGCCAAGGGAGGCUACUAGUGGUAAAACAUAAUCCGUGCAGGAACUUUUUUUUUUGUAUAUGUCUGUGUGUGUCUGUAUGUAUGUAUGUGUGUGUGUCUACAUGUCUGUGUGUAUGUAUGUGUGUCUUUAUGUACGUGCCUCUGUGUGUGUGUGUCUAUAUGUAUGGAUCUCUGUGUGUAUGUGUGUGUGUUUGUAUGUAUGUGUGUGUAUGUGUGUCUGUAUGUAUGUGUGUCUGUGUGUGUCUACAUGUAUGUGUGUGUAUCUGUUUGAUUGCAUGUGUGGGAGGGACGGGGACAUGUGGGGGGGAUUGAUGUAUGGUGGGCGGGGAUGUAUGGGGUGGGGGUAGAUGUAUGGGGGCGGGGACACAUGGGGUGCGGGGUAGACGCAUGGGUGGGGCCCAGUGCAAUAUUUGCUCCGGGGCCCCGUGGUUUUUAGUUUUGCCUCUGCCUGCAGGUAAUGAUUAUACUCACCAGAAUAAUUACAUUAAGCUGUAAUUGUUCUCGUGACUAUAGUGUCCCUUUAACAUCCAACAAUACAAUAUUAUCAUAUAAGAUUACAAUAAUAUUAGAAGCAAAUCGAUGCUCAAACACUUAGAAUUAUGAGUGAGAAUCAUAAGUAAAAAUGGGGAGGAGGUAGGGGAAAGAAAUUAUAAGAAAAUCGGGGAGGGGCAUUUAUUUCUUUUUAAACAGUAGUGUAUUCCUUUCUCUUUAUAGAUUCAGAACCCCCCUUUUUUGGUUUUAAAAAGAGGAAUGGAAUCUUACCUGUAAUUAACAUGGGGGACAGAGCACAGCAAUUGCCGUGCUUCACCAUUCCAAUGCUUCUCAAUUCUUCUCCAAUCCAAUCAUUUCCCUGAAAUUACUGUAAUCUUUUAGCAAUUAUGAAAAUUGCAGAAAAGAUAAUAAUCGACAAUGUCUAAAAAAAGGGCCAACAUCUACGCACCAUAACCACAGCAUUUACAAAUAUUGUUUUUUUGUUGUUUAGAUUAUCCUUUUAGUAGAGAAAAACAAUCAACCCCUGGGGAGAAAUCUUUACCCUUUCACAACGAUAUCGUUUCUUUUUUUUUUUUAUUUCCACACUCAUUGAAGGCCUUAUGCAGGUGUAGCCCCCCUCCUUUAAUACUAAAGAAGAUAAAACUAACAAACAAAAAAAAACGUAAAAAGAUAUAUGGCAAGAUAAGAUGACACCUGUGAUUCUGAAGCAUUAUACACACUAGAAAGCCAACGCAAGUAAAUAAUUACUCAAUAUAUAAGAAUAAUUGCUGUUGGUUUAUUGCUGGUCAUAUAUGCACCUCUCUGGGGAGUUUGUACGAGUCAUAAAACAACAUUCUAAAUGAUUAACUAGGUGCAUAUAAAAUAAGGAUAAGGACGACUCGUGAUCAGGUGCAUAUGGGCAAACAUUAAUUCAUACAGAUUGUAUGGGAUCAAUGAGGAAACAUUCAAUAAGGUUAGAAUACUGGAACUGAAGACAAAGGAGCUAUAGCGACUCCCAUCUAAUACAAAGUCAUAGAUAUGGCUGUUUAUGUUUAAUGGUUUUUAGAAACCUGCACAAUUUUUGUGUGCUAUAUUUUAAAUAUGCACCCAAAUUCUCUUCACUUUACAGCCUGACUUAACGCAUCUCUAUAAGGAAAGUUCAGUGUCUACAUGUAGAGGGUGGAGACACUGAAUGUCAAUUACACUGUGCAGCACUGCACCAGGAAGCACCUCUAGCAGCCAUCCGAGGAGUAACCAGUGGAGGUGUCCCUAGGCUGUAAUGUAAACACUGCAUUUUCUCUGAAAAGACAGUGUGUACUGCAAAAAGCCUGAAAUAAAUGAUUAUACUCACCAGAACAAAUACAAUAAUCUGCAGUUGUUCUGGUGACUAUAGUGUCCCUUUCAUUUUAAAACAUGAGACAGAUACUCAGUAAGACUUGCCAGUGACGUUGUAUGUGAAUGGUGAUAUGAUUGUCUCUGAAGUAAAGCAUUAUUUUUUUUUUUUUUAUAAAUAGAUAUUGUUUCUGUAAUCCUAGUAUUAAAUUUAUGUUUUUUUUUAUUUUAUUCAUAUUGUGCACAGUAACAGGUUUUGAGAAUUAAGUGAUUUGUUAAUUAUUCUGAAAAUAAUAUAAAUAAAAAACAGUGUCGAUAGUCUUCCCUGUUUCAGUCCCUGCACAAUAACAGGGGAGACCAAACACUGUCUGAGCCAAGGUGGAUGUAUAUGGCUGAAGGAUUUUGUCAUAUACUAAAAAGAGGGAUGUGUUUUCUCAGUUUUUACAUAUACUUCACUUAAAAAAAAUUCAAAUUCAAAACCUGAUGAACGGAUUAAGAUGUAAGAAAUGGUUUUGAGGUGACAGUUGCCAUUUAAGUAGCAAUUGCUGAGAAUUUAUAAUUAAUUUAGGGUCCCAGGAUUGCAGCCCUGAAAAUAGUAUAACCAUUACUAAAACUAUUUAUAAAAAUGCCAAUAUUCUUAUAUACACGCACGCACGCAUGCACGCACACACACUACCAGGAACAAACAUACACACAUGCCCAGAUACAAACACACAUACACACUCAUAAAUACACACAUUUUGCAGCAUGAUACCAGUUUGUGCAUUGGUUUUAUCACCCUCCUGGUUGUCACAUUGUAAGAGCAGGAGUGCUGUCAUCUUGGUGUCCAAGGGAAAGGGAUAUUUUUAAGUCCCCAGCUUUAUUACAUGGUAUAACAGUGCAGAGAAGCAACGGUGUCCCCAUCCUUAGCUGGUCCCUUGCAAACUUCUGGUUUCUACCCCCUGAUGGGAGCCCUAGCUACUUGAAACAUGUUGCACAACAUGAAUUAUAGACAAAAUAUUUCAAUAGUUAUGAAAAAAUAUAAAAAGAAAAAUAUACACAAAAAUUAGUUAACUGGGUAGUGUAGGAUAAUUAACUAUAUAUACAGGGAGUGCAGAAUUAUUAGGCAAGUUGUAUUUUUGAGGAUUAAUUUUAUUAUUGAACAACAACCAUGUUCUCAAUGAACCCAAAAAACUCAUUAAUAUCAAAGCUGAAUAUUUUUGGAAGUAGUUUUUAGUUUGUUUUUAGUUAUAGCUAUGUUAGGGGGAUAUCUGUGUGUGCAGGUGACUAUUACUGUGCAUAAUUAUUAGGCAACUUAACAAAAAACAAAUAUAUACCCAUUUCAAUUAUUUAUUAUUACCAGUGAAACCAAUAUAACAUCUCAACAUUCACAAAUGUACAUUUCUGACAUUCAAAAACAAAACAAAAACAAAUCAGUGACCAAUAUAGCCACCUUUCUUUGCAAGGACACUCAAAAGCCUGCCAUCCAUGGAUUCUGUCAGUGUUUUGAUCUGUUCACCAUCAACAUUGCGUGCAGCAGCAACCACAGCCUCCCAGACACUGUUCAGAGAGGUGUACUGUUUUCCCUCCUUGUAAAUCUCACAUUUGAUGAUGGACCACAGGUUCUCAAUGGGGUUCAGAUCAGGUGAACAAGGAGGCCAUGUCAUUAGAUUUUCUUCUUUUAUACCCUUUCUUGCCAGCCACGCUGUGGAGUACUUGGACGCGUGUGAUGGAGCAUUGUCCUGCAUGAAAAUCAUGUUUUUCUUGAAGGAUGCAGACUUCUUCCUGUACCACUGCUUGAAGAAGGUGUCUUCCAGGAACUGGCAGUAGGACUGGGAGUUGAGCUUGACUCCAUCCUCAACCCGAAAAGGCCCCACAAGCUCAUCUUUGAUGAUACCAGCCCAAACCAGUACUCCACCUCCACCUUGCUGGCGUCUGAGUCGGACUGGAGCUCUCUGCCCUUUACCAAUCCAGCCACGGGCCCAUCCAUCUGGCCCAUCAAGACUCACUCUCAUUUCAUCAGUCCAUAAAACCUUAGAAAAAUCAGUCUUGAGAUAUUUCUUGGCCCAGUCUUGACGUUUCAGCUUGUGUGUCUUGUUCAGUGGUGGUCGUCUUUCAGCCUUUCUUACCUUGGCCAUGUCUCUGAGUAUUGCACACCUUGUGCUUUUGGGCACUCCAGUGAUGUUGCAGCUCUGAAAUAUGGCCAAACUGGUGGCAAGUGGCAUCGUGGCAGCUGCACGCUUGACUUUUCUCAGUUCAUGGGCAGUUAUUUUGCGCCUUGGUUUUUCCACACGCUUCUUGCGACCCUGUUGACUAUUUUGAAUGAAACGCUUGAUUGUUCGAUGAUCACGCUUCAGAAGCUUUGCAAUUUUAAGAGUGCUGCAUCCCUCUGCAAGAUAUCUCACUAUUUUUGACUUUUCUGAGCCUGUCAAGUCCUUCUUUUGACCCAUUUUGCCAAAGGAAAGGAAGUUGCCUAAUAAUUAUGCACACCUGAUAUAGGGUGUUGAUGUCAUUAGACCACACCCCUUCUCAUUACAGAGAUGCACAUCACCUAAUAUGCUUAAUUGGUAGUAGGCUUUCGAGCCUAUACAGCUUGGAGUAAGACAACAUGCAUAAAGAGGAUGAUGUGGUCAAAAUACUAAUUUGCCUAAUAAUUCUGCACUCCCUGUACAUGCUCUUUGUUUUAAAAAUGAGUGUAAGCCCCCAGCUAUGUGAAUACUUCUAUUAACUUUCACUAUUGAUUACAUUUUUCAAGUCCUGUCAGUUUUUACCCUGCAGAGAAACAAAUUUCUUUGCAACAGCUACUUUCUAUUCCUCUGUAGAGGUACUUGUAAAUAGUGGUGUCCUUCUACCGUUGCUUAACAACUUUUUUAGGUCAAACUUCACUGCUAUAUUCUAGCAGUCAGGAGGUGGUGAGGGAGAAACUAUGGAGGUUCUAUAGGGAUUCUUUGCUGGCUACAAGAACAGCUUGUAAUGCUUUUGGUCAACCUUUGGCACUCCAGAUGUUGUGGACUACAUCUCCCCUAAUGCUUUGCAAGCAUGACAUGAGCACAGUCGCCUUGUCGGCCUCUACUUAAGAACCCCCACCAAAUACCCCAAUCCCCAAUAAAGCACAGACACCAUGGUUUUGGCAAAAUUAUAUCACAGCUUUAUUUGUAAUUAACAUAAAUUUAAAGGUCAUUGUCAACAGCAGGCCAACAUUGGCCUGCACAAUUAACAUCCUGCAUUUACAAUUAACCCCUUGACAAUGACCCACCCACCCCCACAUAACAUAACACCCAAACAUUGAACAUUUUAUUUAACAUGAACAUGAUCAUUGCCACCAAAGGGCACCAUCCAUUGCCACCAAAGGGCAUAGUGUAGGGGCAUACCGAGACACCCCAUACACACCCCGGUUCGGAGCUACCUACGAGCUCGAACCUACCAAACCAGUCCAAAGGCCUUCCUAUUAGCCCUGAACUCCAAACUUUUUCCCCAUCUCACACUUUUCACCCCCCAACUUUACUCUUUAUCCCCUGCACAGUGACCAAACGGGAAACACCUGAAAGCAAAGGGAGGGUGGGUGGGACAACAAACAGGUAGUGUAACUUAGAUUAAAGUGAUCCUUGGAUCUAAAAUGGCCACUACUUAUACUCCCCUUGAAACUCCACCCCAGCAUUACCAGUGACCAAACCCUGACCCCCUGACCUUUAGAUGGCCUAUCUCCUGGCAAUGUCAAGGCCCACUCCCCUUAGCUACGCUGCUCCAUGGGCUACAUUAUGGCUGUAAGAGCUUUAUGAGGGAUGUAGUCCACAACAUCUAGCGUGCUGAUGGCUACCUACCCCUGUUAAAUAUAUUAUGGGUUUUAAUUGGUAGUGUGACUGAUAAAUAGAUACCAAUUUGGGGACCCUGGAAAAAGGCUGCAAGCAGUCUGAUUAAUUUUCAACAAGCUUUAUUAUAUCAUGAACACAGGGCAACAAGAAAAGAAAAUGUGGAGUCUUAGACCAGAUUACCUACAGACACAUCUUAUGCAUUGUGUGCUAAAUAUCCUUUUAUACUGAGCUCCGUACAAAUUUCAACAAUGGUAUUUGACCAUUUUUAUGUGGUCUGUUAUUGUCUAACGUGCUGUAUGUGACAGUAAAUAUAAAUCUGCUUCAUUAACAUUUUUGACACCGACUGCAGAACGUUCUACUGGGUACAUUUACAUGGUGUUUAGGCAGAUUCUAUUGGAAAACCCACAGGAGCCUUUUUUUCAAGACACUAUUUCUGUAUAAGUAAAAUGAAUAAAAUAUUGUCUUUGGUUAAAGUGCUACUUAUUCAUCCCAUGUUCAGGGCUCCUGAUUAUCCCGCUUUGGACAGUGGAAAUUUCAGGGUCCUGUUCUCCCGAUUUAGUUGUGGAGUGUUAAUAUACAGGGAGUGCAGAAUUAUUAGGCAAAUGAGUAUUUUGACCACAUCAUCCUCUUUGUGCAUGUUGUCUUACUCCAAGCUGUAUAGGCUCGAAAGCCUACUAGCAAUUAAGCAUAUUAGGUGAUGUGCAUCUCUGUAAUGAGAAGGGGUGUGGUCUAAUGACAUCAACACCCUAUAUCAUGUGUGCAUAAUUAUUAGGCAACUUCCUUUCCUUUGGCAAAAUGGGUCAAAGAAGGACUUGACAGGCUCAGAAAAGUCAAAAAUAGUGAGAUAUCUUGCAGAGGGAUGCAGCACUCUUAAAAUUGCAAAGCUUCUGAAGCGUGAUCAUCGAGCAAUCAAGCGUUUCAUUCAAAAUAGUCAACAGGGUCGCAAGAAGCGUGUGGAAAAACCAAGGCGCAAAAUAACUGCCCAUGAACUGAGAAAAGUCAAGCGUGCAGCUGCCACGAUGCCACUUGCCACCAGUUUGGCCAUAUUUCAGAGCUGCAACAUUACUGGAGUGCCCAAAAGCACAAGUUGUGCAAUACUCAGAGACAUGGCCAAGGUAAGAAAGCCUGAAAGACGACCACCACUGAACAAGACACACAAGCUGAAGCGUCAAGACUGGGCCAAGAAAUAUCUCAAGACUGAUUUUUCUAAGGUUUUAUGGACUGAUGAAAUGAGAGUGAGUCUUGAUGGGCAAGAUGGAUGGGCCCGUGGCUGGAUUGGUAAAGGGCAGAGAGCUCCAGUCCGACUCAGACGCCAGCAAGGUGGAGGUGGAGUACUGGUUUGGGCUAGUAUCAUCAAAGAUGAGCUUGUGGGGCCUUUUUGGGUUGAGGAUGGAGUCAAGCUCAACUCCCAGUCCUACUGCCAGUUCCUGGAAGACACCUUCUUCAAGCAGUGGUACAGGAAGAAGUCUGCAUCCUUCAAGAAAAGCAUGAUUUUCAUGCAGGACAAUGCUCCAUCACACGCGUCCAAGUACUCCACAGCGUGGCUGGCAAGAAAGGGUAUAAAAGAAGAAAAUCUAAUGACAUGGCCUCCUUGUUCACCUGAUCUGAACCCCAUUGAGAACCUGUGGUCAUCAUCAAAUGUGAGAUUUACAAGGAGGGAAAACAGUACACCUCUCUGAACAGUGUCUGGGAGGCUGUGGUUGCUGCUGCACGCAAUGUUGAUGGUGAACAGAUCAAAACACUGACAGAAUCCAUGGAUGGCAGGCUUUUUGAGUGUCCUUGCAAAGAAAGGUGGCUAUAUUGGUCACUGAUUUGUUUUUGUUUUGUUUUUGAAUGUCAGAAAUGUAUAUUUGUGAAUGUUGAGAUAUUAUAUUGGUUUCACUGGUAAUAAUAAAUAAUUGAAAUGGGUAUAUAUUUGUUUUUUGUUAAGUUGCCUAAUAAUUAUGCACAGUAAUAGUCACCUGCACACACAGAUAUCCCCCUAACAUAGCUAUAACUAAAAACAAACUAAAAACUACUUCCAAAAAUAUUCAGCUUUGAUAUUAAUGAGUUUUUUGGGUUCAUUGAGAACAUGGUUGUUGUUCAAUAAUAAAAUUAAUCCUCAAAAAUACAACUUGCCUAAUAAUUCUGCACUCCCUGUACUGGCACUGAUGUGGUUGAAAAAAUACUGAAUUACCGUAUAUACUCGAGUAUAAGACGAGUUUUUCAGCACAUUUUUUGUGCUGAAAAACCACUCGUCUUAUACUCGAGUCACUGUCUGUAUUAUGGCAACUUACAUUGCCAUAAUACAGACCAGGACCGCCGGGCUCAUUACAAGCCCGGCGGUCCUGUUGGGGGCUGGCAGCGAGCUGUUACUUACCUUUCCUGCAACUCCUGUCAGCUCCCUUCUCCUCCGUGUCGGUCAGCUCUCCUGUCAGCUCCAGUGUAAGUCUCGCGAGAGCCGUGGGGUCAGAGCGUUGCCACGGGUUACUGUAGCAACGCUCCGCGCAGCACUCAGACCGCGAGACUUGCAGAGGGAGCUGACAGGGGAGCUGACCAGAACGGAGGAGAAGGGAGCUGACAGGAGCUGCAGGAAAGGUAAGUUACAGCUCUCUGCCAGCCCCCCCCUACACAGCCCAUCCACUGGACCACCAGGGAAUAAAAUUAAAUAAUAAAAAAUAUAAUAUUACAAUAAAAAAAAUAUUAAUAAUAUAAAAAAAUAAUAAUAAUAAUUAAAAAAAUAAUAAUAAUGCCCACCCCCCACCAAGGCUCUGCAUAACAUACACAAACACACACUGCAUUCAUACACACACACUGCAUUCAUACACACACAGACUGCAUUCAUACACACACACACACUGCACUCAUACACACACAGCACUCAUACACACACUGCACUCAUACACACACACACUGCAUUCAUACAUACACACUGCAUUCAUACACACACACACUGCAUUCAUACAUACACACUGCAUACACACACACACUGCACUAAGUUUCCCAGUUUUGGGGAGUAAAAUUAGGGGAUUUUGACUUAUAUUCGGGUCGACUUAUACUCGAGUAUAUACGGUAUUUCUUUUUUUCAUCCUCCUUUCUUUUUAGACUUCCGUAUGCUCAAUUAUACAUAAGGCUCAGAUAUUUGUGUAUAUUAUUUGGUGUUUCACUAUCUUUUUCUUCUCAUUAGUAAUUCUUAAUUCCUCUGUAAAUAUGUUGAAUGGCGUUUUGCCAUUGUAUUUUAGAUAGUAGCUAUUGCUGUUCAUUUAACAUUUAAUAUUGUUGAUAUUUUUAUAAAACAAACACUUCUAAGGGAAGCUGGACUUUCUUGCUCUCCAAAGACAUUCAAGUUUAUGUACUUUACCUUCCUGAAAUGAUGAUGAAUCAUUGCAUAACUCAAUGCAGUACAAAUGAUUGACCACCGUACCUGUUACAGAGCAGGCAUAGAUAACAAUUUUACACAUUCACCUGACAUUCUAUUGCUUCUCUACCUAUCAGCAGUGCAGGGAAUGAGGUCAUGUAUCACGUGAAAGGAAAUUUUGAAGUGAUCGAGUGUUGUCAGCCCAGGCUAAAGACAAACCUGUUGAACUAUCACUUUAUUACAGAACCGUGACCUUCAAAAUGUUUGCGUAGCAGCUUGCAGUGGCUUGAUGCAACCAAAUUGUGAAUUAUAGCUCUACUAUAUGUAGCAAAUUAUAAUUUUUUUAAUAUUAUGAAUGUGUUCUGAAGCUGUGUAAGAUUUUUACUUUGUUUUCUCUGCCGUGAAAAACCUAUUGGUCUAUAAAAAGGCAAGUCCAACUUAUCUUAUUAAGAGAUCAUGCAUUUAGACUGGAAGAAAGGAGAUUUCAUCUAAUGCAAAGGAAAGAGUUUUUUUACAGUAAUAACAGCAAGGAUGUGGUAUUUCAUGCAUAAAGAAGUGGUCUGCACAGAUAUUUAAACAGCGAUUGGAUGAAUACUUGCAUAAACAUAAUAUUCAGAAAUAUCAUUUUUAAUUUGUGGGGUAAUAGCUUCAUGAUCCAAGCAGCGAUCUGACUGCCAUUCUGGGGUCAAGGAGGAAUUUAUUCCCAGUUUGUUGCAAAAAAGGAAAGCACUUCAAACUUUUUUUUGCCUUCUUUUGGAUUAACAGCAAAAGCUGAUGUGAGCAAAGCUGAGCUUGAUGGAUGUGUGCCUCUUUUCAGUCUAUGUAACUAUGUUAGAGUGCACUAUGGCACACAUACAAAAUGUUAUAUCUCAUACAUGUAGAAAUCCGUGCUCACUCCGUUACACUAUUGGAAGACAGAUCCCUCCUACCAACAAAGGGAACUAUAAGAAAUCAAAGUCAAAGCUUGUGAUCUAUUUGAUUAGUAGUGAUUUAAACUCCUUAAUUACAUGUUAAAAACCUUUCAGAACUAUAAGGCUUAACGUGAUGAGAUAUUUUGAAAAUACCUUUUCUAAUUUCCAAGUAACCGAGGGAAUGUUCACAAAGCAUUUUUCUUGCUUCUUUAAGUAAUGAAAAAAAAAUGUUUUAAAAAGUUACACCAAGAAUCAUAAUCCUCAUAAUGAAACACUGCACAUACAGACUCCAGUCCCAGUGACUACUUCAAAUCAGCAAAGUAGUUAUGGUUAUUGGAGUAACCCUUAAUAGCUAAUUUUAUAUAACCCAGUCUACCUUAAUCUCAGUUGUUCAAGGUUUUGUAUUUAUUUUGGGAAUAAUACUAAAAAAAAAAAAAAAAACGUCAACAUAUAAACAGUUUAUUAAUAAAUGUUAUGAAAUGUUUUAAAAGGUUAAUCAGGCUAGUAACAAUAAAGAUAUGGUAAAAAAUGGUGGUGAUUCCUUUUACUUUGUAUCCGGUCUUGUUAACCGAGCCGAUUAUGUCACAGAUCUAAUAAAACACCAUUACUACUGUCACUAAUAUGAACAAACAUUGAUAAAGCUUGCUGUCUUUAUACCAGUCUGUGCUAUAACUCACCGCUGCGCUGGUGAUGUGUUAGUAUGUAACAUUACAGUUACAUAAUUACAAUAAAGAUAAAAAUCGGCUCUUUUUAUACAUCGCUUCCUGGUAUUCAGACGGGUGUUGACCUCUUUACCUCACAUUAUACCAUGAAAUUCCGUCAGACGGGUUUAUCUGACCACAGUAUCUCCUGAUUUUAAUUUCUUCCCAAAUGUUUACUUGUCAAGCAGAAAAAUAGAAGGCAAAGAGGUAUUGUUCAUCCCCAUAUAGGCAGGGCCGGUGCAAGGACAUUUGGCUAAACAGGUGAAGAUGCAUUUUGCUGCACCCUGCACCCCCCCCCCAAAAAAAAGUAUCUUAACCUGUGUACCUGUGUCCCCUUUAGUGUUUCAUAUCCCCUCUUAAAUGUCUUACCCCUUUUGCUCCUUUGUGUGUGUGUUACACACCCUUUAGUGUAUUAUAUCACCCUAUUUAGUGUGUCUUAAACACCCUUGUUUCUCUUACUUCCCCACCAGCCCCUUUCUGUGUAACUUUGCGUUACUGUGGGGGAUAUAGCAGAAUUGUGUGGGAUACAGACUGUCAGGAUUACAGUUGAUCCAGCCCGCAGAAUAGUAUCACACCUAGGACUAAGGAUAACGUCUAAUCGGCCCUUAGAAUGGGCGGACUUAACGUACCAGAGAAUAGUCAAAAUACUAGCCGAGGUCAGGGACACAGAACGAGACACAGUGAUAAGGAAAAGCCAAUAGUCAAGGAUGCCAGAAGUCAGGGAAGUCAAAACAAAGCCAAAGUCAAAAACCAAAGUCAAAAAUCAGGAACACACUCUAACCAUCUAAGGGAAACCACGACAAGGCAAUGAGUUUAAGGAAUAAGUGAAUUUAAAUAACUCUCUUGCAGAUCCGAUUAGCCAUACCUAGCCUUUGACCCCAAAACGUGCAUGUGCGUCUUUUGCGUGACGUCACCCGCACGUCAACGUCGUCUUUACCAUGGAUGGACGUGGGGCUAUAUAAUAGCGUGGGUCCGCAGUGGCCGGAGUCCACCAACAUGUCGCAAAAGCCAGGCAUCAUAGCCAAGCGGCACUCCUCUUAUUCUUAGGAAGGUAAUUAUCUCCGUGUUUGUCACAUGGAGACGAAGGAUAUGUGACACAGACGUUAUUAUUAUUUAUAUAGCGCCAACAAAUUCUGUAGUGUUGUACAAUAGGGUUGUAGUGGGGGGAUAAGGGCAGUAUUGUGUGGGACAAGGGCUUUAGCGGGGGGGGAGAUAUUGGUAGUAUUGGGGGAUAGAGGCUUUAGAGUGGGGGAAUUGGGGAAGAAUUGUGUGUAAUAUGGACUUUAUUACUAUUAUUUAUAUAGCGUCAACAAAUUCUGUAGAGCUGUACAACUGGGUUUUACUGGGGGAUAGGGGCAGUGCUGUGUGUGGCACGGGCCUUAGCUGGGGGAGAUAGCAGUAGUAUUGGGGAAUUGAGGAACCUUUGACUAUAACCCUAACUCCUAUUGCUCCUAACCUAAAUGUAAUUUCUAACUCCAUCACCCAUAACCCCUUUCGUUAUUUUGUAUUGUAAAAAAACUUCCAAAUCCAGAACAUUAGCUUAACUAAGUGUCAAACCUUACCUGCAGUUCUAUUUUCCUCAUAGGCCAACAGUCACUACCCAGGAUUUCUAAUAUGAAGUUUAAUCAUCUGCUUUAUUUUACAAAUAUGUAAUCCAGUGCAUCUGACAGUCAGCAUAGAUAAAUAUACAAAUAAGACAAAUGAAACAAGGUUUCUAUUUACCUCCUCGUUUGCAAUGUUUACCAUGGCAUUGUCCUGUUUGAAGUGGAUUACGGUGGUACAUGUUUAAUCUUUAAUAUAAAUUUAAAAUAAAAUGAGGCAUCACAUACUAAAAAGGUUAACAUACUGGUUACAUGUGAUUUUAAAUGUUUUAUUCAAUGGUAUAAAUUAUAGAGAGGUGAAAAUACAAAUUUAAAGGGACACUAUAGGCACCAAAACAACUUUAGCUAAACAAAGCACUUUUGGUGUAUACAAAUGCGAAAAGAUAAGUCCUGCGCACACUCCCAUCACUACUGGGCAGCAGCAAUGACUACAAUACACAUCAGCCCCAAUAUAUUGUAAAAACCAAAGAAAAACAAGUUGCCUGCGCUCUCUCCUUAAUCCCUAUGUAUUUUUAAACAAAUGGAGGUUUUUUAGUUACCUCCAAUGGCCAUGAGAGGAUAAGCCCACCUGCCAAUGUCAAGGCAGACCCCCCUAGGUGGCUCCUAACUCUAACCAUUCAGCUUGCUUCCUUGAGACUCUGGCAGAAAUAUCUCUAAUGAGACAGAAGGGGGUAUUUUUUUAUAUACACCCCUAUAUAUUAUUAACCCUUAAUAGGGAACACACGGGUUAAUUAAGGGUAAAUAAAUGUAUAGGGGUGUAUAUAAAAAAAUACCCCCUUCUGUCUCAUUAGAGAUGUUUUUUGCCAGAAGCUCAAGGAAGCAAAGUGAAUGGUUAGAGUUAGGACCCACCUAGGGGGGGUCUGCCUUGAGUUUUAUUUGUUUAUGCCACCCUAGCCACACCUCACUGCAUGUGACUGACACAACCUUCCUAAACACUUCCCAUAAAAAGAGAUCUAAUGUUUAAACUUCCUUUAUUGCACAAUCUGAUUAAUUUGGAAUUUAUCUCUUGCUCUGGUAAUAGUCGGUUUAAGUCUGCAGGAGCCUCUUGUGUGUGAGCCUGUUACUCACACAGGCUGUAUGAAAAUAAAUGGUUUCACUUUCAAUCAGAUGUAACUUAUUUUAAAAGCUUUUAUCUCCUCCUCUGUAAAUUAAACUUCAAUUAUAUUCAGGAGACUCCUGUAAAGUCAAAGAAGCUAUUAACAGAGCAGGAGAUGUGAAAAUCUAAAUUAAACUAUAUUUUAAUAGGGGAAGUGUAAACAAUAGAUGACUCUGCGGGAAGUGUUUGGAGGGCUGUGUAAGUCACAUGCAAGGAGGUGUGCCAGGGCUGUAUAAACAAAGUGAUUUAACUCCUAAAUGGCAGAGAUUUGAGCAGUAAGACUGCAGGAGCAUGAUCUAUAUACCAAGACUGCUUCAUUAAGCUAAAAUUGUUUUGGUGACUAUAGUGUCCCUUUAAAAAAAAAAUAAUUUUCAUGUAGACCGUGUCAGUCACAGUCAGUAGACAUGCGGCUAGGGCUGCAUUAACAGAAACAAAAUUGAUUUAACUCCUAAAUGGCAGAGAAUCCAGCAGCAUUACCACAGGGUUAUGAUCUAAACAUUAAAACUGCUUCAUUAAGAUAAAAAUGUUCUGGUGCUUAGAGUAUUCCUUUAAGCCUCAUUUUUACUCUCAGAAUCUACUCAUGCAGAAUGUAAGACUCCUUUACCCUUAACACACAGUUGAAACUCACUGUAAUGGAGCCCCUGUGAUAUGAGUUAAAUUGUGCUUCUGUAAAAUGAGUUACUUGUAGUCCAGUGCUGGGACAGACUGAUCAGCCUGUAGUGAGAUCACCAAGCAUGAUUAUAUCUGUCCAAGACAAAGCCGUAGAGACUUUGUGAUAGCAAAGCGACAGAGCCAAGGCAACAAAGCCAUUACAUGAAGUUGCAGUGGCUUUUGGUGCCUAGUCUGUCCCUCUCCGGAUUCACUCUGACUCUGAGCAUUCAGAAGGAAACCUCUCGUACUUAUAUAGUGUUCUAUUUUUAUCAGUUAUUUUGCAAACGUAACACGUCGGUCAUGGUAUAUGCAAACAAUGUACGUUACAUUCCGUUGCUCACUUCCUCUUCUUAGAAUUGUCCCCGGGCAAAGGAUCUCUCCCUUGUGAUUGGAAAGCAGAAUGUCUCAUGAUAUCAGACUACCGUUCUAGAGGAAGAAACUGCUCUAAAGAAUCACGUUAUAAGAGCUUAGAGUCAGAUCUGUCCCACAGCUCUACAUUUGUAUAAUUCAAGAGUGACAUUUAUUAGAAAUGCUUUUCUCCCAGGGCUACCCUGGGUUAUCAUCUUUUACUAAAACACCCAUGAUGCUUUACCAGUUAUAAUUUGGCAAAGUUAUAGGGGGGGUUCUGGUUUUACAUCCACUCGGCUUCUACCUUUUGGCUAGCCUGUUUAAUUUUUUUUGUUUCGGAAUAAAAUGGCACGAUUCUUCAAUCGCAGCAAACAUAAUAAUUUAAAAUAGUUGUUUAUAUAAUGUAAAUAAUGUGCUUGUAAAGAAUGUCCCACCCCUCUGUUGUUUGUUGUACAAUUUCUACUUGUUCUGUGUAGCUGUAGAAUUGACACUGUUGUACCAUACCAGAAUCAUUUGAAGGUUAAUUGUCCAGAAUAAGUUAAUGGUUCAUUUUUUUUUUUUUUUUAGUAAUAAUCAUCUUCUAGAAUUCCAAAAUGAUGCAUGUGAACGUAUACUGAG